AUUUGUUGAUAAAGAAGGGUCCAUGGGUACAUUUGGACAGUAGUAUCCAUCGACUUCAUAAUCACCUAAAUACGUACAUGGUGCUAUUCCAAGUUCUGAAAAAUGUCAAGACUUCUUCGUGGGAUAAUGGAUAUUUUAAUGAAAGUAUAAAUGGAGUAGAAAUCGUGGAAAACUGUCACUGUGUCUCAAUUAUCAAAAAAUAAAUUUUAAUCUUAUAAUAACUAUAUGUAUAUAAUUUAAUAUUAUAUAAUUCACAAAUACAUAUCAUAUUUGUAUCAGUGGCGCAACCAGGAUUUAUUCAAGGGGGGGGUCCAGGAAAAUUUUUUAUUUAUUAUACAUAUAUUGUUUUUCUGUUCUCUUCCUGAGUAUAUACUAUAUACAUUAUAAAUACAUUUCAUUGCUUGAUAAAUACAAUUAUAUUAUUUAAUACACAAUACAUAUUAAUUACAUUUUUAAAUUUAUAUUUACAACGAAAGUAUUUCAAUUAGUUAUUAUUAUUAUGCCAAUUUAAUUAUGGUAGUCAUUAUUUAUUAUUAUUAUCUAUAGUGUAAAAUCUAAGCGCCGGUUUUCUUCAGAUAAUAUAUUUAUAACUUCUUCCACUGUUACUGGGACUUCUCGGUGAAUAUUAAGAUUAGCCAAACCAUUCAACCUAUUUUCAGAAGUAGUGUUCCUUAAAUAAUUUAAAAUUAAAUUAAAUAAUACAAAUUUUGUAUGUGUUAUGUAAUGUGCAUGUGUGAGAUUGGACCGGUCGACGACAAAUAAUACGGGUCGUAAGAUGUGUAUAAUAAAAAACUAAUAAUAUAUAUUAAUAUUAAUAAGAAUAAAAUGUAUAAAGCGUUGGUACUAAAUAGUAAGUACUUACCUAUAUAAGUUAAUAAUUUAUUUUAUUAUUAUGUAAUAUAAUAUAUGCAUUUUCAAGUAUAUAA
Molecule: long non-coding RNA, 926 nt
Organism: Rhopalosiphum padi (bird cherry-oat aphid)
Lineage: Eukaryota; Metazoa; Arthropoda; Insecta; Hemiptera; Aphididae
Exons: 2
Source: RefSeq, a predicted model, not a curated record